CCUACGGGAGGCAGCAGUGGGGAAUAUUGGUCAAUGGUCGCAAGCCUGAACCAGCAACGCCGCGUGAAGGAAGAAGGCUUUCGGGUUGUUAACUUCUUUUCUCAGGGACGAAGAAAGUGACGCUACCUGAGGAAUAAGCCUCGGCUAACUACAUGCCACCAGUCGCUGUAAUACGUCGGCGGCAAUCAUUAUCCGGAUUUACUUGGUGUAAAGGGCGUGUAGGCGGGACUGCAAGUCAGAUGUGAAAACCACGGGGUCAACCUGUGGCCUGCAGUUGAAACUGUAGUUCUUGAGUACGGGAGAGGCAGGCGGAAUGCCUAGUGUAGCGGUGAAAUGCGUAGAUAUUAGGAGGAACACCAGUGGCGAAGGCGGUAUGCUGGACAGCAACUGACGCUGAGGCGCGAAAGCGUGGGGAGCGAACAGGAUUAGAUACCCUAGUAGUC
Molecule: ribosomal RNA, 443 nt
Filed under: uncultured bacterium
Lineage: Bacteria
Description: partial 16S ribosomal RNA
Rfam family: Bacterial small subunit ribosomal RNA
Source: RNAcentral